Molecule: ribosomal RNA, 449 nt
Filed under: uncultured bacterium
Lineage: Bacteria
Description: bacterial SSU rRNA
Rfam family: Bacterial small subunit ribosomal RNA
Source: RNAcentral
UUCCAGACUCCUACGGGAGGCAGCAGUGGGGAAUAUUGCACAAUGGGGGAAACCCUGAUGCAGCGACGCCGCGUGAGUGAAGAAGUAUUUCGGUAUGUAAAGCUCUAUCAGCAGGGAAGAAAAUGACGGUACCUGACUAAGAAGCCCCGGCUAACUACGUGCCAGCAGCCGCGGUAAUACGUAGGGGGCAAGCGUUAUCCGGAUUUACUGGGUGUAAAGGGAGCGUAGACGGUGAUGCAAGUCAGAAGUGAAAGCCCGGGGCUCAACUCCGGGACUGCUUUUGAAACUGUGUGACUGGAGUGCAGGAGAGGUAAGCGGAAUUCCUGGUGUAGCGGUGAAAUGCGUAGAUAUCAGGAGGAACACCAGUGGCGAAGGCGGCUUACUGGACUGUAACUGACGUUGAGGCUCGAAAGCGUGGGGAGCAAACAGGAUUAGAUACCCGAGUAUUC